CAUUGCGGGCUGUUUAAGACGCAGACCUCGGCGAGCCUUUAAGCACCCGAAUGGCCGGCGACAAAACCCGACACCCCGUGCAGUGCCUCUACCUGCAGCACCCCUCCCCGACACCGACAGAAGUGACCAGCUCGUGUUUGGCCCAGAUUUACGAUGUUUUCUUCCUCCGGGCAAGUUUCGGUGUUGACCCACACCUAAAUAAAGUCCGAUUCGUGAUACCCACUCUUAUUUGAAGCUCAGUUCGUGACAUCCACCCUUGUACGAAGCCGAUUUGCGAUACUCAUCCUCUUCGACAUCUGUUCGGCACUUACCCACACCUUGUCUGCAUUAGAUUUACAAGUCCCAACGCGUUCACCAUCGUUCAACGAGGUUCUGUGGGUUUCGAAUUGACGCAAAGGUGAGGAUACGAGUUACGAUCAUGGUGAUGGUGCGGAGGAGACUCAAGGAGAAAUACCAUGGCUAGUUCCUGUUUAGCUUUAUUAGGUUUAUGAUAGGUCAUUAUGAGUUUAUUUGUUUCAGUUAUGUACUCUGUUAGGACCCUGACUGUGCAAAGUUCAUGCGGUCAGCAAAAGCUUUAGCUUGUCUUGUUAUUGAGUUUGGUUUCUCUUUAGAAGUUGGGUCAUUAGACCCUUUAAAAGUAUGUUAAGUUUAUCUAUUUUAAAAUUUUUUAACUUUAGAAGUUGGAGCUUGGAUACACUCUUUAGUUGUUAAGUUGUUGUGAAUGUUGUUAUUUAGAGUAGCGCAGCAGAAGCGUGAUGGAUUAGACGUUUAGUUGGUUGCUAUAACAUUUUUUUUGCUUGGUUAAGUUACUGUCGUAUAGGUUGUUGGAUUGUUGCCAUUUACUCAAGUUUAUUUAGCUUUAACUCAAGUAGAUGAGAAUUGUGUCACUUGUCUACGGAGGACAGGUUGUUUUGUUUGUCUGUCAGGUGUGAUAUUCACAAGUUUAAGCCGAGCAAUUAAAAUGGUUGAAUUGUGCUUAGUCUGAGUGGUUAGUAGUUUUACCCUCUUGUAUAAGUAGAACUUUUUAGGUUGUUUUCGUAACUGUCCCUGAUCUUGGAUAAUGGAAAUCCUAGGGCGUUACUAGCGUUUGUUGCACAAUCAGAGGUCGAUCCGUGGUCCGAUCGAGGUGAAAUUUUGACAAUGUGUUCACAACACGAGGGUCUUCAAUUUGGACAGUGAGAUAUCUUUUAGAGCUGCCUACAGUCAGAUACAGAGAUCUUUCUAUUUUUCUUCCCCGAUGUAUUCCCUUGUUUGCCGAAAUUUAUUGUCUCGAGAUAUUAUUAUUGUAUGCCUCUAGUUGUUGCUAGGGAGAACUUGGUGAGAACUUGGUGUAGCCCAUUAUUGAUUAUAGUGGAGAUUUUGACUUCGGUC
This is a long non-coding RNA of Momordica charantia (bitter melon), 1371 nucleotides long. RefSeq lists it as uncharacterized. The record is from RefSeq and is a predicted model, not a curated record. Lineage: Eukaryota; Viridiplantae; Streptophyta; Magnoliopsida; Cucurbitales; Cucurbitaceae.